CCUACGGGAGGCAGCAGUGGGGAAUAUUGGGCAAUGGGCGCAAGCCUGACCCAGCAACGCCGCGUGAAGGAAGAAGGCUUUCGGGUUGUAAACUUCUUUUCUCAGGGACGAAGCAAGUGACGGUACCUGAGGACUAAGCCACGGCUAACUACGUGCCAGCAGCCGCGGUAAUACGUAGGUGGCAAGCGUUAUCCGGAUUUACUGGGUGUAAAGGGCGUGUAGGCGGGAAAGCAAGUCAGAUGUGAAAACCAUGGGCUCAACCUGUGGCCUGCCUUUGAAACUGUUUUUCUUGAGUACUGGAGAGGCAGACGGAAUUCCUAGUGUAGCGGUGAAAUGCGUAGAUAUUAGGAGGAACACCAGUGGCGAAGGCGGUCUGCUGGACAGCAACUGACGCUGAGGCGCGAAAGCGUGGGGAGCAAACAGGAUUAGAUACCCCGGUAGUC
Molecule: ribosomal RNA, 443 nt
Filed under: uncultured bacterium
Lineage: Bacteria
Description: partial 16S ribosomal RNA
Rfam family: Bacterial small subunit ribosomal RNA
Source: RNAcentral